GUACGUUUAACGUCAGAAAUGCUUAUUAAGUUCCUUUUUCCUUUUUGAAUUCCUUGCGGGAUUAUGCGGAGAGAUUCGGAGAUUCCGAGGGAUAGUUGUUAGAUUUUACUUUAUAUGGAAAAAUUGCUUGAAACAACGGUUUUGUCUUAAUUUCGUCAUUCUGAAUCCAACGAGACCAUCCGCAAGGUCAUAGCUCUAAUAGUAGCUGAGAUAUGGCAUUUUUGGAGCCCAUUUUUGGCCUCAAAAACGAGGUCCAAAAAAUACUCGAUUUCUUAGUUCUGCUCGGAUUCCCUUAUAACCCGGUAUUUUCGUGAUCUACUUGAUGAGAACAAUCCGCUGGUAUAGUUAGUUCGAAUUAGAAAAAAAAAAAUUUUCUGAAAAAAAUCCAAACGGGGGGGUAUACCCGAAAAAUGAAAAAACCCAAACUUUGAAGGCCGAUAUCUCAGCUUCUAUGGGAGCUAUCGGGAAAAUUCCAACGGUUUUGUCUUAGUUUCGUCAUUCUGAAUCCAACGAGACCAUUUGCAAGAUCAUAGCUCUAAUAGCAGCUGAGAUAUGGCAUUUUUGGAGCCCAUUUUUGGCCUCAAAAACGAUGUCAAAAAGUGAUAAAUUUCCGAAUUUUCAAAGUGCUCUCAUUCCGUUAUUUCUGAUCGAAUCCUGUCAUAACCCGGUAUUUUCGUGAUCUACUUGAUGAAAACAAUCCGCUGGUAUAGUUAGUUCGAAUUCGAAAAAAAAAAAUUUUCUGAAAAAAAUCCAAACGGGGGGUAUACCCGAAAAAUGAAAAAACCCAAACUUUGAAGGCCGAUAUCUCAGCUUCUAUGGGAGCUAUCGGGAAAAUUCCAACGGUUUUGUCUUAGUUUCGUCAUUCUGAAUCCAACGAGACCAUCCGCAAGGUCAUAGCUCUAAUAGUAGCUGAGAUAUGGCAUUUUUGGAGCCCAUUUUUGGCCUCAAAAACGAGGUCCAAAAAAUACUCGAUUUCUUAGUUCUGCUCGGAUUCCCUUAUAACCCGGUAUUUUCGUGAUCUACUUGAUGAGAACAAUCCGCUGGUAUAGUUAGUUCAAAUUCGAAAAAAAAAAUUUUUUCUGAAAAAAAUCGAAACGGGGGGGUAUACCCGAAAAAUGAAAAAACCCAAACUUUGAAGGCCGAUAUCUCAGCUUCUAUGGGAGCUAUCGGGAAAAUUCCAACGGUUUUGUCUUAGUUUCGUCAUUCUGAAUCCAACGAGACCAUCCACAAGGUCAUAGCUCUAAUAGUAGCUGAGAUAUGGCAUUUUUGGAGCCCAUUUUUGGCCUCAAAAACGAGGUCCAAAAAAUACUCGAUUUCUUAGUUCUGCUCGGAUUCCCUUAUAACCCGGUAUUUUCGUGAUCUACUUGAUGAGAACAAUCCGCUGGUAUAGUUAGUUCAAAUUCGAAAAAAAAAAUUUUUUCUGAAGAAAAUCGAAACGGGGGGGGUAUACCCGAAAAAUGAAAAAACCCAAACUUUGAAGGCCGAUAUCUCAGCUUCUAUGGGAGCUAUCGGGAAAAUUCCAACGGUUUUGUCUUAGUUUCGUCAUUCUGAAUCCAACGAGACCAUCCCCAAGGUCAUAGCUCUAAUAGUAGCUGAGAUAUGGCAUUUUUGGAGCCCAUUUUUGGCCUCAAAAACGAGGUCCAAAAAAUACUCGAUUUCUUAGUUCUGCUCGGAUUCCCUUAUAACCCGGUAUUUUCGUGAUCUACUUGAUGAGAACAAUCCGCUGGUAUAGUUAGUUCAAAUUCGAAAAAAAAAAUUUUUUCUGAAGAAAAUCGAAACGGGGGGGGUAUACCCGAAAAAUGAAAAAACCCAAACUUUGAAGGCCGAUAUCUCAGCUUCUAUGGGAGCUAUCGGGAAAAUUCCAACGGUUUUGUCUUAGUUUCGUCAUUCUGAAUCCAACGAGACCAUCCCCAAGGUCAUAGCUCUAAUAGUAGCUGAGAUAUGGCAUUUUUGGAGCCCAUUUUUGGCCUCAAAAACGAGGUCCAAAAAAUACUCGAUUUCUUAGUUCUGCUCGGAUUCCCUUAUAACCCGGUAUUUUCGUGAUCUACUUGAUGAGAACAAUCCGCUGAUAUAGUUAGUUCAAAUUCGAAAAAAAAAAAUUUUUCUGAAAAAAAUCGAAACGGGGGGGUAUACCCGAAAAAUGAAAAAACCCGAACUUUGAAGGCCGAUAUCUCAGCUUCUAUGGGAGCUAUCGGGAAAAUUCCAACGGUUUUGUCUUAGUUUCGUCAUUCUGAAUCCAACGAGACCAUCCACAAGGUCAUAGCUCUAAUAGUAGCUGAGAUAUGGCAUUUUUGGAGCCCAUUUUUGGCCUCAAAAACGAGGUCCAAAAAAUACUCGAUUUCUUAGUUCUGCUCGGAUUUCCUUAUAUCCCGGUAUUUUCGUGAUCUACUUGAUGAGAACAAUCCGCUG
RNAcentral lists this long non-coding RNA (2409 nucleotides) under Anthonomus grandis grandis. RNAcentral's name for it is "uncharacterized LOC126744704". Lineage: Eukaryota; Metazoa; Arthropoda; Insecta; Coleoptera; Curculionidae. The record is from RNAcentral.